RNAcentral lists this unclassified non-coding RNA (334 nucleotides) under soil metagenome. RNAcentral describes it as "partial contains 5.8S ribosomal RNA, internal transcribed spacer 2, and large subunit ribosomal RNA". The stretch from base 1 to 120 matches the Rfam family "5.8S ribosomal RNA", at positions 35 to 154 of the family's 154-position model. The record is from RNAcentral.
GAUGAAGAACGUAGCGAAAUGCGAUACGUAAUGUGAAUUGCAGAAUUCAGUGAAUCAUCGAAUCUUUGAACGCACAUUGCGCCUGCCAGGACUCUGGCAGGCAUGCCUGUUCGAGCGUCAUUUCAACCAUCAAGCCCUAGGCUUGCGUUGGAGCCCUGCGGCUGCCGCAGGCCCCUAAAAGCAGUGGCGGGCUCGCUAUCACACCGAGUGCAGUAGAUUACUCUUCGCUCAGGGCGUGUGGCGGGUUCCAGCCGUGAAACCCCCUACUUCUCAAGGUUGACCUCGGAUCAGGUAGGAAUACCCGCUGAACUUAAGCAUAUCAAUAAGCGGAGGA